AUCCAAGGCCUUCCUAAGAGUAAGCCGUAGGAAGUUCUUGCAUCAAUCACGUGGAAUAUCGUGCUCGACUUGAGUUCACCAAUAGUCAUCUCCACUCGGAUCAUGCCCAUCGCUCUUUGUCCUCCUUGAUUAAAACCUUGGAUUAGUAGACGACUUAGGGACAGUUCAUCCGCCUUGAUGCCGAUUGUAGUCAUUGUCGACUUUGGCAUGAUGUUUAUGGCUGAUCCACCAUCCACAAGCAUGCGGUUGAUUUUGUGCCCCUUUA
RNAcentral lists this long non-coding RNA (265 nucleotides) under Malus domestica (apple). RNAcentral describes it as "long non-coding RNA (MDOM_LNC009152)". The record is from RNAcentral. Lineage: Eukaryota; Viridiplantae; Streptophyta; Magnoliopsida; Rosales; Rosaceae.